RNAcentral lists this transfer RNA (74 nucleotides) under Blastopirellula marina. RNAcentral describes it as "tRNA-Cys". It matches the Rfam family "tRNA". From Rfam's summary of the family: Transfer RNA (tRNA) molecules are approximately 80 nucleotides in length. The record is from RNAcentral. Lineage: Bacteria; Pseudomonadati; Planctomycetota; Planctomycetia; Pirellulales; Pirellulaceae.
GACGUGGAAGCCAAGUGGUGCGGCGCUGUCUGCAAAACAGCAUAUCGUGGGUUCGAUUCCCACCUGCGUCUCCU